This 105-nucleotide ribosomal RNA is filed under the name Listeria ivanovii. Lineage: Bacteria; Bacillati; Bacillota; Bacilli; Caryophanales; Listeriaceae. RNAcentral also lists the same sequence under 1 other name. The record is from RNAcentral.
UGGCGAGAAGGUCACACCCGUUCCCAUCCCGAACACGGUAGUUAAGCUUCUCUGCGCCAAUGGUAGUUGGGGGCUUCCCCCUGCGAGAGUAGGUCGCUGCCGGGC